AGCGAACGCUGGCGGCGUGCCUAACACAUGCAAGUCGAGCGAAGGCAUAUGUGUAGCGAUACAUGUAUGUACUUAGCGGCGGACGGGUGAGUAACACGUGGAUAAUCUGCCCCAAGGACUGGGACAACUCUGGGAAACCGGAGCUAAUACCGGAUAUGACCACGAUGUCUGAGGGCAUCGAGGUAAAAGGGUGGCCUGCAAGGGCUAUUGCCUUGGGAUGAGUUCACGACCCAUCAGGUAGUUGGCGGGGUAAAGGCCCACCAAGCCAAAGACGGGUAGCUGGUCUAAGAGGAUGGUCAGCCACACGGGAACUGAGACACGGUCCCGACUCCUACGGAAGGCAGCAGU
Molecule: ribosomal RNA, 348 nt
Filed under: uncultured bacterium
Lineage: Bacteria
Description: bacterial SSU rRNA
Rfam family: Bacterial small subunit ribosomal RNA
Source: RNAcentral